GAAACCGUUCAGGGGUAAACCUGAGAAACCCAAAAGAUCGAAUGGGGAGAUUCAUCGGCAACGGCGCUGGGUCCCGUUGGUCCGCGAUGCUCCGAGUGGGGUCCACCGUGGUCCCACGGCGAGGGCACGCGACCUUCGGCUCGAACGUUCCGGCAACGUAGUCGUGCACUUCUCCCCUAGUAGAACGUCGCGACCCGUUGUGUGUCGGCCUACGGCCCGAGUGGGUGCCUGUCGCGUCGCAAGUUGCGCGCGCGGCAGACCCUCGGUUGCCCGGCCGGCUGCACGACGGUACUCGCACGGUAUCGGGCCGCAACCAGAAAAAAAAGCCCUCACUGGUUACAGUGGGGGGGGAAAUGUGUUUGCGUCAGGCACGCCGCAAGCUCGGUCAGCAAAUUACUCGGAGGUACGGACACUGCGCCGUCGCCAGGGCUGACCAGCUGUUAGCAGGCGAUUGUCCUCGGACUGGCCAAGCUUCGAAUUACCGGUCGGCGACGCUAUUGCUUUGGGUACUCUCAGGACCCGUCUUGAAACACGGACCAAGGAGUCUAACAUGUGCGCGAGUCAUUGGGAUGUAUAAACCUAAAGGCGAAAUGAAAGUGAAGGUCGGCCUUACGCGUCGACCUAGGGAGGAUGGGUCGCGUUACCGAGCGGCCCCGCACUCCCGGGGCGUUUCGUUCUCAUUGCGAGAAGAGGCGCACCUAGAGCGUACACGUUGGGACCCGAAAGAUGGUGAACUAUGCCUGGUCAGGACGAAGUCAGGGGAAACCCUGAUGGAGGUCCGUAGCGAUUCUGACGUGCAAAUCGAUCGUCGGAACUGGGUAUAGGGGCGAAAGACUAAUCGAACCAUCUAGUAGCUGGUUCCCUCCGAAGUUUCCCUCAGGAUAGCUGGCACUCUAACGUUCCUACGUGGAACGAGUUGUAUGAAAGUCUCAUCUGGUAAAGCGAAUGAUUGGAGGCCUUGGGGCCGAAACGACCUCAACCUAUUCUCAAACUUUAAAUGGGUGAGAACUCUGGCUUG
Molecule: ribosomal RNA, 1018 nt
Filed under: Zacosmia maculata
Lineage: Eukaryota; Metazoa; Arthropoda; Insecta; Hymenoptera; Apidae
Description: eukaryotic LSU rRNA
Rfam family: Eukaryotic large subunit ribosomal RNA
Source: RNAcentral